CGGCAAUGAUGACAAAGUUAUCCGCGCUACUGAGAUUUCCAGUGACGACAAGGAUAAAAAUGGUUGAAUUUCUUGACCUGAGCCA
RNAcentral lists this small nucleolar RNA (85 nucleotides) under Coccomyxa subellipsoidea C-169. Lineage: Eukaryota; Viridiplantae; Chlorophyta; Trebouxiophyceae; Coccomyxaceae. The record is from RNAcentral.